RNAcentral lists this transfer RNA (75 nucleotides) under Citrobacter freundii. RNAcentral's name for it is "tRNA-Gly". It matches the Rfam family "tRNA". From Rfam's summary of the family: Transfer RNA (tRNA) molecules are approximately 80 nucleotides in length. Lineage: Bacteria; Pseudomonadati; Pseudomonadota; Gammaproteobacteria; Enterobacterales; Enterobacteriaceae. The record is from RNAcentral.
GCGGGCAUCGUAUAAUGGCUAUUACCUCAGCCUUCCAAGCUGGUGAUGCGGGUUCGAUUCCCGCUGCCCGCUCCA